CAUUUAUAUACUAAAAUUGGACAGCAUUUAUACAUCAAUUUGGGCAGCAUAUAUAUAUCAAAUUGGACAACAUUUUUACACCAAAAUUGGACUGCAUAUAGACACCAAAUUAGGCAGCAUUUAUACAUCAAAAUUGGACAGCAUUUAUACACUAAAAUUGGACAUCAUUUAUACAUCAAUUUGGGCAGCAUAUAUAUAUCAAAUUAUACAGCAUUUUUACACCAAAAUUGGAUUGCAUAUAGACACCAAAUUAGGCAACAUUUAUACAUCAAAAUUUGACAUGAACUGAAUCAUAACAAUCCACAUUUUUAAAUCCUACCACAAAUAUAUAUAUCAUGAAGCAUAAUUU
This 349-nucleotide long non-coding RNA is filed under the name Gossypium barbadense (sea-island cotton). RNAcentral's name for it is "long non-coding RNA (GBAR_LNC013385)". Lineage: Eukaryota; Viridiplantae; Streptophyta; Magnoliopsida; Malvales; Malvaceae. The record is from RNAcentral.